ACUGCUCAGUAACACGUGGACAAUCUGCCCUUGGGUCUGGGAUAACUCCGGGAAACUGGAGAUAAUACCAGAUAGGUCAUAGAUGCUGGAAUGCUCUAUGGCCCAAAGCUCCGGCGCCCAAGGAUGAGUCUGCGGCCUAUCAGGUUGUAGUGGGCGUAAUGGACCCACUAGCCUACGACGGGUACGGGUUGUGAGAGCAAGAGCCCGGAGAUGGAUUCUGAGACAUGAAUCCAGGCCCUACGGGGCGCAGCAGGCGCGAAACCUUUACAAUGCGCGCAAGCGCGAUAAGGGGACCUCGAGUGUUCCUACCUAGUAGGAACUGUCCAGUUGUCUAAAAAACAACUGUUAGCAAGAGCCGGGCAAGACCGGUGCCAGCCGCCGCGGUAACACCGGCGGCUCGAGUGGUGACCGCUUUUAUUGGGUCUAAAGGGUCUGUAGCCGGUCUAACAAGUUCUUUGGAAAAUCUGGUCGCUUAACGAUCAGGCUGCUAGGGGAUACUGUUAGACUUGGGACCGGGAGAGGCUAGAGGUACUUUAGGGGUAGGGGUGAAAUCCUGUGAUCCUUAAAGGACCACCAGUGGCGAAGGCGUCUAGCUAGAACGGAUCCGACGGUGAGGGACGAAAGCUGGGGGCACGAACCGGAUUAGAUACCCGGGUAGUCCCAGCCGUAAACGAUGCGAGCUAGGUGUCAGUUUUACUGCGAGUAAAAUUGGUGCCGUAGGGAAGCCGUGAAGCUCGCCACCUGGGAAGUACGGCCGCAAGGCUGAAACUUAAAGGAAUUGGCGGGGGAGCACUACAACGGGUGGAGCCUGCGGUUUAAUUGGACUCAACGCCGGG
Molecule: ribosomal RNA, 836 nt
Filed under: uncultured archaeon
Lineage: Archaea
Description: bacterial SSU rRNA
Rfam family: Archaeal small subunit ribosomal RNA
Source: RNAcentral